Grammomys surdaster is the source of this 133-nucleotide small nucleolar RNA. RefSeq annotates it as small nucleolar RNA SNORA17. The transcript has a single exon. The record is from RefSeq and is a predicted model, not a curated record. Lineage: Eukaryota; Metazoa; Chordata; Mammalia; Rodentia; Muridae.
CCUGCCACCUACAGACUUUGCAGGUGUAGCUGCUGUGUCAUAUGUAGGUCAGUAGGUGGCAGAGAGGAGAGCGGUUAUAUCUAUGUUCAGUAUUCUGACCUUUGAACAUCUGAAUGAUUAGUAGCUUAACAUU